Molecule: ribosomal RNA, 460 nt
Filed under: uncultured bacterium
Lineage: Bacteria
Description: partial 16S ribosomal RNA
Rfam family: Bacterial small subunit ribosomal RNA
Source: RNAcentral
CCUACGUGAGGCAGCAGUGAGGAAUAUUGGUCAAUGGGCGCGAGCCUGAACCAGCCAAGUAGCGUGAAGGAUGACUGCCCUACGGGUUGUAAACUUCUUUUAUAAGGGAAUAAAGUGAGUCACGUGUGCCUUUUUGUAUGUACUUUAUGAAUAAGGAUCGGCUAACUCCGUGCCAGCAGCCGCGGUAAUACGGAGGAUCCGGGCGUUAUCCGGAUUUAUUGGGUUUAAGGGGAGCGUAGAUGGGUUGUUAAGACAGUUGUGAAAGUUUGCGGCUCAACCGUAAAAUUGCAAUUGAUACUGGCAGGCUUGAGUACGGUUGAGGUAGGCGGAAUUCGUGGUGUAGCGGUGAAAUGCUUAGAUAUCACGAAGAACUCCGAUUGCGAAGGCAGCUUACUAAACUGCCACUGACGUUGAUGCUCGAAAGUGUGGGUAUCAAACAGGAUUAGAUACCCCGGUAGUC